This 824-nucleotide long non-coding RNA is filed under the name Linum usitatissimum (flax). RNAcentral describes it as "long non-coding RNA (LUSI_LNC002092)". The record is from RNAcentral. Lineage: Eukaryota; Viridiplantae; Streptophyta; Magnoliopsida; Malpighiales; Linaceae.
AAUAAACCAACACACUAAGUUAGAAAAAUUGUGGAAGGAAAAGAAGGAAAAUUGUACGUACUAAUGGAGCAUCUUCCCUGAAAUCAUGGAUCACAGGAAAAAACACUAUGAUUUCACUAAAUUAAGGUACAAAAACCAUGGGACAACACACUAGAUCCGUUGCCAAUCGAGCAGGAUGUGACACAACCCCUUGGAAAAAGGUGAUACACGACUAUAUAUAUAGAACAACGGAUCAGGAGGAACACAGUAGAGUAAAAAUUCACAACAGGUCAGAAGAGUUUUGGAUUUAAGCAAAAUAUGGACGGGCAAAAUCAGGAAAGAUUGUCAUUUCUCAAUAUGUUGGUUUUGUUGGAUAAACAUUACAUAAUUGAAUUGAAGUUGUCACUCAAUUACUCGAGGACAAAAUCAUCAAUCACAACUUAUGUAGCCGCUACAACCUUAUCUACACAAACAAAAUCUUUAGGUAGGCAUAUGAAUAUCUGGCUCUAAUUUCACAAGUUCACUACAACAUACUAAUUAGAUCUGUCAUGCAACACUAUUAACAAACAAUCAUAUAUAUGCCAGAAGUUGAAAGAUAUAAUAAAGGUGGAGAAAGGGGUUACCAAGUAUAUGGCUCAAGGUAUUAACAUCUGGAGGUAGAGGAACGGUGCGAGGACCUUUGAAAACUUGUUUACAAGACUGGAAAAGAUUCUGCAGCACAAACGAAAAGGAAGGGAGAGUUGGUGGUGACCUCUUAACCUUCUUCUUACAACCUCUCUUUCUAUCAACAAGUCUCCGGCCACCAUAUCCUACCCUUUUCAUAUGUCUAGUAAUAACUUGGUCGC